Molecule: long non-coding RNA, 890 nt
Filed under: Equus asinus (donkey)
Lineage: Eukaryota; Metazoa; Chordata; Mammalia; Perissodactyla; Equidae
Description: lncRNA (ENSEASG00005027315.1)
Source: RNAcentral
UACUGUCCCAUCCCAAACCUCUAGUUUUGUGUGCCCUGGGAGGGACCAUCCAGCAGACAGCUUCUUUUUUGGGCGAAAAUGCUUAAAGGCCUUUGAUACUGACAGCAGGAGGAGGCUGCUGUGGCCAGCCUGAGCCUGAAGUGUGUCGCAGGGAGAGCUACCCACCCACAGUGCUCACCUUGGACUUGCUGGAACCUCCUGGGCAGCUUGAAACUGUUCCCUGCUGGGCCCAUCACAAGAGGGUCUGUCUUGUGAUCUGGGUGGGACCUGCCCUCACCCCAGUGAAAGGCCAGAGGGAGGAACUGAAUUCCUAUCUACUUGGUGUCCUGUGGCUGGGCCCUGGGGGAACCAGGCCCCUGCUGUCCCACACCCGCUCCUCCUCCCCACAUCUGGAGGGGACUGAGGGGCAGAUACACCUGGACCCAUCGGGGCAAGGCCACACCCACACCUCCCAUCAGGCAACACCACCCGUGGCAGGGCCCUCCCUGCAGCCUGAACUCGGCCUUGGGUUUCACUUGGAAGAUUUCUACUUGUCUUCAGGUCUCCUCUUCUAUGCUGCCUCCUCUUGGAAACCUCUGACUCCUCUGGAUUUGGGAGCCUUUCUCUUCCGUCUCUUGUGCUCCCAGUGCACCUUCAUUUUAGCAGCUAUGUCUGUACUCGACAGGCUGGGACUCUAGGGGGCCAGCCCUCCCUGUGAGCCUUCGCCUCCCCCAGGUUCCAGGGUGUUGAUGGGAAAGAGCUGGGGGCAGAGCCCUCCCAGAGCUGUUGAAACCCCUUGGUUAGGAUUGGGGUUGUGUGCUGGGGCUGGGGAGAAGGGAGAUUGUAGAAGGUGACAUAAGUUGAAUGCAGGCUGCAUUAUACCUUUUUUGAGAAGCCAAUAAACGAUAUUG